GACGAACGCUGGCGGCGUGCUUAACACAUGCAAGUCGAACGGAAAGGCCCUGCUCUUGUGGGGCGCUCGAGUGGCGAACGGGUGAGUAACACGUGAGUAACCUGUCCUUGUCUUUGGGAUAACUUCAGGAAACUGGGGCUAAUAUCGGAUAGGAGCUCCUGCUGCACGGUGGGGGAUGGAAAGUUUCGGCGGUUGGGGAUGGACUCGCGGCUUAUGAGCUUGUUGGUGGGGUAGUGGCUUACCAAGGCUUUGACGGGUAGCCGGCCUGAGAGGGUGACCGGCCACAUUAGGACUGAGAUACGGCCCAGACUCCUACGGGAGGCAGUGGGGGGGAGUAUUGCGCAAUGGGGGGGAGCCUGAUGCAGCGACGCCGCGUGCGGGAUGACGGCCUUCGGGUUGUAAACCGCUUUCGCAGGUGACGAAGCGUGAUUGACGGUAAUGGGUAAAGAAGCACCGGCUAACUACGUG
RNAcentral lists this ribosomal RNA (468 nucleotides) under uncultured bacterium. Its description in RNAcentral is "partial 16S ribosomal RNA". It matches the Rfam family "Bacterial small subunit ribosomal RNA", at positions 28 to 507 of the family's 1533-position model. The record is from RNAcentral.